UGGGGAAUAUUGCACAAUGGGCGCAAGCCUGAUGCAGCCAUGCCGCGUGUGUGAAGAAGGCCUUCGGGUUGUAAAGCACUUUCAGCAGGGAGGAAGGCGGUACGGUUAAUAACCGUGCUGAUUGACGUUACCUGCAGAAGAAGCACCGGCUAACUCCGUGCCAGCAGCCGCGGUAAUACGGAGGGUGCAAGCGUUAAUCGGAAUUACUGGGCGUAAAGCGCACGCAGGCGGUCUGUCAAGUCGGAUGUGAAAUCCCCGGGCUCAACCUGGGAACUGCAUUCGAAACUGGCAGGCUAGAGUCUCGUAGAGGGAGGUAGAAUUCCAGGUGUAGCGGUGAAAUGCGUAGAGAUCUGGAGGAAUACCGGUGGCGAAGGCGGCCUCCUGGACGAAGACUGACGCUCAGGUGCGAAAGCGUGGGGAGCAAACA
RNAcentral lists this ribosomal RNA (427 nucleotides) under uncultured Kosakonia sp. RNAcentral describes it as "bacterial SSU rRNA". It matches the Rfam family "Bacterial small subunit ribosomal RNA", at positions 355 to 774 of the family's 1533-position model. Lineage: Bacteria; Pseudomonadati; Pseudomonadota; Gammaproteobacteria; Enterobacterales; Enterobacteriaceae. The record is from RNAcentral.